UACCUGAAAGGUGCUUACAGUGAGAGCGGGGUAGGCCUCUUCUCACUGGCAACAGGUGACAAGACAAGGGGAAAUGGCCUCAAGUUGUGCCAAGAAGCGCUGAAAGCUGAUACUUCUGUCUCUUCCCCAACAACCCUAAGAGAUAUGGCUCCAAGAAGCACCUCCAAUGCUCAAAAAUACACAUGGAGGGACAACAGUGAAGCAUAUGGUUGCCAGGAAGCUGGGGGUCAGCGCCACAGAGGUUACAAGGUACAGUUAUCUUACCUGAUGCGGUUCAAAUCCUUGUUGGAUAAAGAGGCUGUUAGCCAGGCUUAAAACAUAGUCUUUGCCAAGGUUUUGUAGUUGUAAAAGCAGUGCAUGGAACGCUUCGUGGUUAAGAUUCCCAUCUGUGUUGCACUAGGAAUAUUUCAAACACACCAAUUACAAGUAUUCCUCAGUAUAGCUUUGGUUGUUCAUUUGCAUCCUCAUUAGAUUGCAGCGUAGGGCUAGUUCCCACUGUAAUUAUAUUUAAAUUCAGCUAACCUAAGCUUUGUAACCUGAUCUUCCUUCUGGUGGGGGCUUUGUAUUUGACUUUAUGGAGGACUUGGCUGAUUACAAGGGAACACCUUCAAUCAGGCGUAGUAGACCAGGCAGAUGUUGUGCAUGGGAUCUUGACUCCCUCCUGUGGCAGGCUGUGGUGCUUUACAACUAAUAGGCUACUGUGGAGUGAAAGGACUCUUGUACUACAAAAGACGUACCAGAGAGGGGGAAGACUCUCUUUCCUGGCUUAGUUCAGACUUGUUUUCGGGCACUGCACCUUCAAGCUCAGAUUCAAGGCUUGUAGUUCCUGUGGCAUGGCUGACGUGGAGAACCUGCAGUUGAAGAGGUCAAAUUAAUGGCAAUUUUAACUGGGAUAAAGGCAUUUUCCUUGUUUGAAAGAUUUACUGGGCUGUCCUGGAUAAGUGAUGUAGAUUUAUUAACUAUCAUAGAAAGGUUUGGGUUGGAAGGGACCUCAAAGCCCACUCAGCCCCAACCCCAUGCUGUGGGCAGGGAUGCCACCACCAGCUCAGGUUGCCCAGGGCCCCAUCCAACCUGGCUUUGAGCGCCUCCAGGGAUGGCGCACCACAGCUUCUCUGGGAAGCCUGUGCUGGUGCCUCAUUGCCCUCUGUGUAAAGAAUAUAUGCCUAACAUCUUACCUAAAUUUCCGCUCUUUUAGUUAGACACCAUUCCCCCUUGUUGAGAGUACUCGAUCUCCAUUGCUUUCCUAAACUAAGCAAGAGUCACUCAGAACCUCAUAAGGAGAAUGAGUUUCCCUUGGCAGCAGCUGACCUGUGGCAAUAUUAUAAUACAAUGGAUGAAGAUCCACCAGGACACAGCCAGAGCCAGCUACUGCCUUAUGCCACAUAUACCUUAGGAGUAUUGGUCACUUACUGCUCUCAGAAACAAAUAAGAAAAGAAAUAAAAGAUCUCAGAGCAUACAGCUUGCACUGCAGGGAGUAAAAGGCAUGGUGACCAGAGGAACAGACUUCUGCAUGCCCACCCUGUACCCCCAGGCUCCGUGUGCUCUGUAGGUGAGACAUGUUGAAUCGUUUGAAUGUCACAGUUGAUAAGUGAGCAGGGAUCACAGCACACCAAGCACUGCUCUCAAGGCAGCAGUUGAGCUUGUGUUUAUCUUUGUCUCCUAAGCACACAUGUUGUGCUGCAAAGCCCAGCAUUGCCACUGGGGGAACAGCAGGCUAUGUGGAAGUAUCUCAGAACAUUUCAGCAGUACUUACUUCUUCUAUCUGAGCAGCAGUGUUGUUUCGUGCCCCUAGAAGGAUCAGGCCAAGGGAGGUAGAGAUGCUCAUUGGAGAGAAGACAAUGUUUUGGCCUUUUGCUGUUCUGUUGAGUUUAUUGUAGAGAUCAAGGCAAAACUCAAUAAUCAUUCUAGAAAUGGAGCCCAUUGUGAAGCCUGCAGCUUACUGGGAGCAAAAAGGGAAAGGAGAAAUGUGAAUCAGCUGAUUGCUUAUCUGUAUCAUACUGUGAAGUAUCUGUCCACCCUAAAAUCAUCCCAUAGAUGGUUGCUAAAUAGUAGAAGUGUGCUGAAUUCUGAGUUUGAAAUAGCUGAUUUUGCACACAUCUAUUAAUUCACACUCAUGUGGAUACAGCAGGAUCUGGAAAGGGGCCCCAAUACUCAUACCAUAUGAGAAUUCCUUAGAGAGAAUUGUUUUUCCAUCUUAUCCCACAGUGUAUCUGAUUCCUUCCAAAAGAGAGUUUCCCGUGAUCUGUCUUACUUGUUCUUAUUUGUAAGCAAAAGGUUGUGGUAUUUAAAUCAGUCAGCUGUGGAUUUCCUUCUACAAACUAGUUUAAUGUGUGUCAUCGCAUCAGUUCUUUCCUCUUGUAACAACAUGAUUAGAGACAGAUUGGGGUGACAGAAACUACACGGGCAUCUAACCACAUCUGGUAACCUGAGCUGCAGUGUGAAGGAUUCAAACAACAGAUUCAUGAAAAUAAAAUUACUAGUAAUUAUUUUCAUGUAUGAAGAAGGAACGUAAACAGCUAUGAAUGCUACUACCUAUGGAAACAUGCACUGUUUGCAGUAUACUUCAUGUCUCCUCAUUGAUUUGAUAGGAACCACUGAUUCAGAAUGGAUAACGAAUGGCAAUUUCACAACGAAGCAAUAGCUCAGCAGCCCCAGAAAGUCUGUAAGCUUCCUGUUCAAUGGCAGGACAAGAUCUGUCUCAUUCUUUUCUCUUGUACUGUAAAUACAGCAGUCUGAUGCCUUUCCUAUGGGUCAUUAAAUCCACUCUGGUAAGAAGAAUUUGGGACUAAGUUUCAGCUUGGUCUUUUCAUGAAGAAUGCCAUCUGAAAAAAAAAAAAAAGGCUUUUAAGAAGCCCUUAUCAGUCCUUUAGGGAAAUAACUGUAAAGCUGUUGUGUGGAUAGCAGUGGAGUACUCAAGUUUUUCUCAAAAUAUUGUACCAUAAAACGCACACAUCAAUUUUAGUGUCAAACAAAGGAUGUUCUGGACAGCACACCAGAAAAAUGUAAGAAAAGCAAAGCAUAUGCUCUUGGCUGCUUGCAGACAUAAGUAACUGUGGCCUGUGUUCCAGAAAGAUAUUUUAUUUAGGCAAAAAUACAUAGCACAGUGUGGAGAGAAAGCACUCAGGUCAGGGUGGCUCUAGCUUUCAGCCUGCUCUGGGACAAGAACUACUCAGCGUCCUGCACUGACUGCAAAGAUGUGGAACACACACUGCCUCUCAUUCAGGUAUGAGACAGGCAGGAUCUUUGCAUGACAAGUGGGGGCUCAGGCACCAAAGUUACCAGGGUGUAAGAAGUUGCUAUGGCUCUGCUGAGGUGCAGCAAGUUGUCUGUGCGAGCAGCUUAGCUUGCAGCAAGUGCCAGACAAUGGGAAUGAACUCAGCCCACAAGAAAAAAGGCUUAGCCUAAGAUAAAUUGACAGGAAAGUCAAGUUGCUGAACAUAUGAAGGUGCUGAUAUGUGACAAGUGCAAGCAUUUCUUUCCUUUUACCUAACUUGAAAUAAAAAGUUCAUAUAUGUUUCAUUUUAAGACACUUUUUUCCCCCUGAAGUCCAGUAGUACUUCAUAUGAAGGCCUAACAUAAAUGGGCAGUCAUCCUACCACAAGAAAAACACAUUGCAGUAAUCAUUUCUCUUUUCUUCCACCCUCGUUAGCUAUUAUUCACAACCUUCUGAAAACAAAACUCAGCACUUCUUUCAUGUUAAAGUUUGUGUUGCUCCACUUUCACAGCUGGUAAAAGAUCUAAAAUGGAUCUAAGAGGUUGUUUACUGUGAAUGUAGGUCAGGAUGCAUGUUGUAGGUGUGUCUAGACCUCAGAAGGCGUCGAGGAGACAACAGGAGCUAAUGAACUUCCUCAACAGAAGAGAGGCACCUCCACCCCAACCCACAGGGAAAGAACCAACCACCAAGCACAGAGGGAGAGCAUGAGAGCUGGAAGCAGGUCUUAAAGGCAAGCGUCUGGCAUACAGAGGUGUCCAUGCCUUUAGAAAAAGCAGCAGACUGUAUUCAGAGUGACGUCCAGGUACAACCACUGCCACCAAUUCCGUGGCUUCAUGUGAGCUAUUUACAGGGCUGCCCCAGAAAAGCAAUGCAACAGUGGAGGGAGAAGGGAUGUGGGCUGGAGAAGGAACUUUCUUACUAGAGAACCAAAGGAUUUAGUGAACUUUCUUAAUGGAUAUUUGGAGAGGGAGUAUGUGUAGGUAUGAUUCCACAUAUUAAGCCAUGCUUAUGAUCUCUGUAAUCAUUUGUUGGUGAGUUUUGGAGCCACCGUGAGGGCAGAGUAACUUUGAGAACACCUAGAUGUUGGGCAACAAAUGGAAAUGGUUCUUUUAAAAGAUCUUGGAGUGGGAAGGAGAGAAAAUACAAGAUCAAAAGAAGUGUUCCAGAAAGAUCACAGCUGUUGUUCUGCACCAGACAAACUGUUUGCACAGAACAUUAGCAAUUGUGCAGAGGCAACAAGCAGGGCUGUGGUUUUAUGGCUGAUGAAGGGAGAUGCUUUGCAUGAUGGCUCAGUAGCUGUUAACAGUCUGGGAGAUGGAAUUGCUGGCGUUGUUAUAUGUGAGCAGGGAUCUACCCAGGAAAAGAGCCUCCUUCCGUAGAUACCACUGUAUACCAGAAGUCUUGUAAGGAUAACAAAUUGCUUCCAUGGCUCCGUGAAGUGAAAAAUACUCCUUUUCUAUAGCUGUUCACGCUCUGUUCUCUCUGUAGAGCUUGUUUUAGGCUAAAGAUGAAAUCAAGGCAAAACUUACUGAAGAAUGAAAAGCUGCGCUCAAAGCUAUCAUAAUUAAAAGAUGUGGUAUGUUACAUUAUGCAGUCAACAGGAGGAGGCAGUAAAUAAAAUGCAGAUUCUGAAAGAGUGGUAGCCUGGUUUGUAAGGCAGUUCUAUAUGUAGAAAGGGAAAGCAAGAAGAAACCUGUUUUCCCUGAUGCUGCAUGAUAAUUCCAAUUGCAUACUUACUCUUCUUCUCAUUUAAGUGCUUUAAUAUACAUUUAUUUCUCAUAAGCAAAGGAAGAGAGAAUUGGCAGAAAUGAUAUGUGUCUAUCCUAGAAAAGGAGAACACAACAGAUAAUACAGUGUCCUCACAUGAAAAGCCUGCGGUUGGUAGAAGUUAUUUUUCAUGACCAUUCAUACAAAAACUUUCAAAGUGUUUCUGUGGCUUUUUGGGUUUAAAGGGACGCAACACAUAAGAAAAAUGAAAUUUCCUUUAACACAGAAAUUCGAGUCUUCCCCAUGCAACACAAAGCAUUUCCAAAGCAAUGUGCUUUAAAUUAAAACCCAAUACAUUUCAGCACAAAAUAUCUUUUCAGGAGAAGUGUUGCCAAGUCCAUCUCCCAAGCAACUUAGCCCCUCAUGAUGCUGUUUUUAUACAGGAAAGGGCUUUUCCUGACUGGUUCUAUUAUUUUGCAUCGGUACCUCCAGGAUGUAUCUUUCCUGCUUCUUUCUAGGCUGAUUAUUCCUGCUUGAACAGGAAUGGAUGUACAUUGGCCAUACAGUGGCAAGCUAUUUGUUAUGCCAAUGUGUAGUUACAUAAACUUCUCAGCAAAUUUUUGAACACCGCUGCCAAAGCCAGGAGCAAAUAUGUUGAUAGUGAAGCAUCCCCAUUACCAAAACAAAAUCUGAAGAAUACUCCACCCUUCCUAUUAUAUACAGCCAUUGUUUAAGAACAUAAACAAUCCUAGCAGCAGAGACCAGGGUACAGAGGAAACACCCAAGCACGCAACCAAAGAGUUGCGUGCCCUCUCUUGUCUAGUGAACAUUUCAAGGCUUUUCCUUGUGCUGUGGAAACCUGAGUAAAGAAGGAAAAUUAACCUGUUUCUAUUAAUUUAUGGGUGAGUUUAUCCAGAUGAUCUGCACCAUCGCUUCUCAUAAAGCCCAUUUUUUUAGAGUGAGUUGGGCUGUUCUAAAACAGCCCUUUGACCCUUCUGGAGAUGUAGGCAGCAAAGCAUCUGCAUGUGGUAUAAACCACUCAGUCUGUGGCAGUUAUAGCUCUCCAAGCAGGCAGGGAGAACCGAGGGAAAUUUCAGUCAAAAGUCUGAGGAAUUUAGACAGGCAUCUUUAGAUUCAUAGCUUUGGGCAUGUGUUCCUAAAUUCCCAGCCUCACCCCAGAGAAGACCACCUCCCUUCGUGAAGACCACCCAAAUUUUAGCAGUGUCUUUUGCUCUCUCCAGCCUGUGAAAGUACCUCCCCCUUUGCCCCAUCUAUAAGCAUGAAAUUUACUUUACCAACUUUUAGACUGAUUUGGCCAAAACAACAACAACAACAAGACAAGUUAUUUUUGAAGAGAAAAAUAAUGUUUACCUUCUUGAGCAAGGAGGUCAAAUGAAGAACACAACAGCUGAGCUCUGGAGCACCUUCCUGUGUAUACUCUAUUUUAAAUUUCUUCCACUUUCUUGUGGGAAAAUUCAGUCUCUAGCCAAUUGUUGAUAAAGGCUGCACGUUGUAAUUUCAUGCAAAUGUCAUCCUUCAGUUUCCUGCAGAAGACCAGGAAACCUAUAUCUAGCAAUGUGCUAACAGCAUUUCGCUCAAAGCUGCCCAACUAGUUUGACAGGAGGCAUCCUGGCAACAUCUCCUGACUGCAAAGCCAAGUCGCCCUUAGCUGGAGAACAGCAUUAACACUGGAGAUCCAUGGCUGUGGUGCUGUGUGUAGUUCCUUUUGAAUUUGGUGGUGUCAGGACUUGAACACUGGGGUGUGCAGGGUUCUUGCUAGGAUUUAGAGAUCCCUUGUUUGGGGCUGAGCUUGCUUGCAGAAAUAGAGCAAAUGAAUAGGAAAUGCAUGUGCUUUAUGUUGCCUACAGGUAGUAGGCACGCAUUCAGGUACAGAGCCAGCUUUCUGUGAGUGGAAGGAUUUUAAUUAGAGAGAGGAAGAAGUAUUUCCUUGAUCUGUAACAGGAAUCCCCACCCAGGGGGUAUUCUUUUAAAUCACUGGAGCUAAGAAUAGGAGUCCAAGAGAGGCUGAUCACAUGGGGUUAUGUCCCCAACAUGCAGUGAGAUGCAAAGAAAGAGAUGGGAAGCACAAAUCUGCACACAGUAUCAGAUCUCCUCAGUAAUAUUUUCCUUCUUUUCACUUUUUUUCUGUUCCAUUUGGAUUCGCUUUGUUGUUUGCUUUUCCUUUCUGCAUAUUUCUUCAGACUUCUUAGUCAUUUGUUCCUGCCUCUUUAUCUUUUUCUUUCUUUCUGCCUAUUGCCUUUCCCAUUCCAUUCUCCAUUUUUUCUUCUGCUGCUUUUGUGAGUCCUAGCCACUUUUCAGUGCCAUUUUUGAAUACCUUUCACUGCUUUCGUUCUUCCAAACUCUGUGCUUUCUCCCUCCCUUUUACACUGACGUCGUUCCUCCACUCAUUUCUUUGAUUUGCUCUCUAUAUCUCCUUAGAGCUUCUUUGCAAUCUGUUUCACUGCUUUGCCUCAGAACAUUAUACCGUAUGUGCAAAUUCUGACCCUUCUAAGGCCGUUAGGAUGGAAUCAUAGAAUUGUAGAGGUUGGAAGGGACCUCUGGAGAUUACUGAGUUCAACUCACUCCUACAGAAGCUCCCUAGAGUAGGUUGCACAGGAAAGCAUCCAGGCAGGUUUUGAAUAUUUCCAGAGAAGGAGACUCCACAACCUCUCCGGGCAGCCUGUUCCAGUCCUCUGUUACCCUCAAAGUAGAGAAGUACUUCCUCUUGUUGGUGUUGAAUUUUCGCCCAUUUCCUGUCACAGGAUACCAAAAGGAGCCUGGCCCUAUUCACUUGGCUUCUGCCCUUUAAGUAUUUGUAAUCACUGAUAUGAUCCCCCUUCAGCCUUAUCUUCUCCAGUCUGGAAAACCCAAGGUUUCUCAGUCUUUUCUCACAAGGGAGAUGCUACAGGACCCCAGGCAUCUUUGUGGCCCUCUGCUGGACUCUCUCUCCAGUAGCUCCCUGACUUUUUUGAACUGAGGAGCCCAGAAAUGGAC
This 7916-nucleotide long non-coding RNA is filed under the name Gallus gallus (chicken). The record is from RNAcentral. Lineage: Eukaryota; Metazoa; Chordata; Aves; Galliformes; Phasianidae.